UUUAUUCACAAAAUUGAAUACAUUAACAUGAUAAAUUAGUAAUUGUAGUUGAUUAGAUUACAUGAAUAAAAUAAUCAAUAAAAUCCUGAUAACUGCCAGUCCGACUCGCGAAUCGUCAGUUAGUACCUAGUACCAAGUUACAAUUACAAUAAGCAAAUACAAUCAAUUGAUUUAUUCAAAAAGGUGUUCACAAACCUUCAAGUCACCAGCGCAAUAACAGCAGAACAAGCAUUCGUGGAUCUCACAAAUGCUUGUCCUACGCGAGGUUUUAACUCGACAAUCCAUGCAGUAAAAACCAUAUAUUUAAGCUGUGUGUGGUUUAAAAUGCAAAAAGUUUAACAGGUAUGUCAGUAGUUUAUUGUAUUCAGUGGUGACAACCCUGUGAAAACCGGUGAAGUUUGCUUUGACUUUAUCUGUUUACUCAAAGGUAAGCGCGAGUGCACGCUUACUUUGUAAUAUCCCUACUAAUAUUAUAAAUGCGAAAGUAACUCUGUCUGUCUGUCUGUAUGUCUGUCACGCUUUCACGCUAGGAGUACUGGCUACUAUAAGUACUAGCUUAUAUUAUACUAGUA
Molecule: long non-coding RNA, 572 nt
Organism: Trichoplusia ni (cabbage looper)
Lineage: Eukaryota; Metazoa; Arthropoda; Insecta; Lepidoptera; Noctuidae
Exons: 2
Source: RefSeq, a predicted model, not a curated record